This 19-nucleotide transfer RNA is filed under the name Anomalospiza imberbis. RNAcentral's name for it is "partial tRNA-Val". Lineage: Eukaryota; Metazoa; Chordata; Aves; Passeriformes; Viduidae. The record is from RNAcentral.
CAAGACGUAGCUUAACCCA